Non-coding RNA from Pelobates cultripes (western spadefoot toad), 230 nucleotides. The record is from the annotation of a GenBank genome assembly. Lineage: Eukaryota; Metazoa; Chordata; Amphibia; Anura; Pelobatidae.
CCAUCCUUCUGGUAGGUGUACUACGGAUUCGCAAUAGAGCUAUGGGCAAGAGAAUGUUCCACUUAAGUUGGGUUUCCUGACACAUUUUAGCCAACUGAUUCUUAAUAGUUCUAUUCAUUCUCUCUACCUUACCAGAACUCUGGGGUCUAUAUGCCGUAUGAAGCCUCCACUUUAUACCAAGCAUAUGAGUCAAUUGUUGUAGGCACUGAUGAACAAAAGCUGGACCAUUG